GAGUACAUUAGACUAAAGUAGGGUACAACACAGUACACUAUACGUUGCUUUUAUUUACUUUACCAUAGUCUAGUGUGCUCUACUGUAUUGUGCUGUACUCUACUUUACUGUACUGUACUAUACUAUACUUUUUUUUACACUACUGUGUACUCUAAUGUACUUUACUCUGCUGUGCUCUACUGUACUGAGCUGUCCAAACUUCUGAAACACCAAAUCUGAACCAAUUAUAGAUGUUUGGGCUAAAUCAAGGCUGGACUGGACUGGACCAAAUCUCAGCGUCUAUGUUUGGGCCAAAUAUAGGCCGGUCUGGACCGGACGUCGGUGGACGUCUAGGAUUGGUUUAGAUUUGGUCCAGACCAGACCAAAAAUCAACGUCAGUGGACGCUGAAAUCAAGAACACUCCUGACCGCAAAAACAAGACGUCCUAAAAACGUAGCCUGACGUCAAAUGCUUAGUGGGUGGUUCAUACUCCUCCAACCCAGCACAUUUAUGAAAUCAUGUAGUGGUUAACCAAGACGUGUUUUUAAAGAAGAUGACUGAUGUUUAGAGUAUACUAUAAACUGAACUAGCUCUGAGAAUAUUUUCCCAAUGAAAGGUUUACUAGUUCCACUGGUGUUGCUGCUCUGUCAGUUAGGAGCACCUGAGAGCUUUCUAAGUGAAGACGCAUCCUCGGGCAAAAAGACAGCACUCCAACCUGACAUCUGGUCUGAGCUGAGAGAUCUGAGAGACAUGGUGGUGCUGCAGAGAGCAGAGCUGAGCCGCACCAUGGCUGAACUACGAGAUACUAAGAACCAGAUGGAGGGGCUAAAAACAGAGAUCUCAGUCAUGGAGUCCAGGCUGAUGAGUUCUGAAGGACAACUUGAGGCAAUGAAGACAGACAUGCAGCCAUAGUGAGCAGAGUAACAUCCGCUGAGAGUGAGGUUGAGAGACUACAGAAGGAGAAUGCAGAGAGACCUAAGGUCGCAUUUUCAACCUCUUUUGGAAAAACUGGACAGCAUGGGCCAUUCCACACUGCCACCACCGUGGUCUUCCAGAAUAUAUUCUCAAACACUGGCAACCACUACAACCAAGCUACAGACAGCCCUUACAGAAUUACCCACCAACAAAGGACCAAGCAGCGGAAGAAGGCUGGCGAGGUAAGGGAAACCGGGAGGCACCCCCAAGACAUUUUUAGGGGGGGGCACAAGGGGAGUUUUGCGGGGCAAGAAUGGAGCCCCAGGCCAGCUCCCCGCACUAGCAUGGAGGUGCGUGUUCGCAAUCUGGUACGCCCAGCACCAGCACCACGCACCAGGAGUCUAGUGUGUCAACCCAGCCUCGCCAGUCAACAGUCGUCAUCAGAGCUGCCCGCCAGUCAACAGUCGUCAUCAGAGCUGCCCGCCAGUCAACAGUCGUCAUCAGAGCUGCCCGCCAGUCAACAGUCGUCAUCAGAGCUGCCCGCCAGUCAACAGUCGUCAUCAGAGCUGCCCGCCAGUCAACAGUCGUCAUCAGAGCUGCCCGCCAGUCAACAUUCGUCAUCAGAGCUGCCCGCCAGUCAACAGUCGUCAUCAGAGCUGCCCGCCAGUCAACAGUCGUCAGAGCUGCCCG
RNAcentral lists this long non-coding RNA (1584 nucleotides) under Salmo salar (Atlantic salmon). RNAcentral describes it as "lncRNA (ENSSSAG00000090642.1, ENSSSAG00000115271.1)". The record is from RNAcentral. Lineage: Eukaryota; Metazoa; Chordata; Actinopteri; Salmoniformes; Salmonidae.